Molecule: long non-coding RNA, 2371 nt
Filed under: Anas platyrhynchos (mallard)
Lineage: Eukaryota; Metazoa; Chordata; Aves; Anseriformes; Anatidae
Description: lncRNA (ENSAPLG00020002556.1)
Source: RNAcentral
CGCAGCCUGUCCACAGAGAUAUCACACCAUUUGGGGACAGCCCAGUGGCCUCCAUUUGAGCAAAGUGCCUGGAACUUGCAGAAAAGCGAGAGGGGCACACCUCCAGCAAGCCGCGGGGCAACCGCCUUACGGCUUACAAAAUUAAAUCAAUCAAUCCAAAAGAAUAAGUUACAGCUCGUGUCUCAAACUCUGCAGCCUGCGCGUCUUCAGGGCUGCUCCCAGCUACUUUCUGAGGGACCCUUUGCAACCUCAGUUCCUAAAGCCCUGUCAGGGAGCCCCAGCGGCCGCCCCGCGCAUGCGUCACAGCCUCGCCCCUCCCCUCCCCGCACUGUGGCAACGGCUCCUGCGCAUUCAGCGGGGGCGUGCGCAGUGUGCGCAGUGUGCGCAGUGUGCGUAGCGCGCUGCGUGCGCGGCGUUCCUAGGGCGCGGCCGGUGCCCCGCCUGGAGCUGUUUGUUUGUGCCGCUGCGGCGGCGCGGCGCGGCACGGGAGCGGAGCGGAGCGGAGCGGAGCCCGGCCGGGCUCGGCGCUGCUGCGGUCGCCAUGUUGAGGCGCAGCAAGGCCGAGGUGGAGCGCUGUGUCGCCUCCGUGCAGGCCUCUGCGGCUUCUCGGAGAGAGCAGGGCUUUCCUCGGGGCCGGAGCGAGGGAGAGGUACUUUCCUUCACAAACGAAGCACCGCGCCGCCUUCAAGUUUCAGUGUCCUUUCCGUGCGGCGCCGUGGAGGUUUCUGGCCGGCCGCUCGCUGAAGCGACAGCGCCGAGCGAGGGGGGCUGGGGGCGCACAGCUCCGCUCCCUGUCAGCCAGCGGGCCCGGGGGUGACAAACGCCACCCGUGCCCAUUUUAGCUGGGAAACGCUCAGCCGCCUGAUGCGAUUCAGCGGGCCCUAAUCCUGAAAGAUCCCGGCCUGCCGCUCGGAGUUGCUUUGAAGCGGCGUGAAUGUGCCCGAGCUAAGCGUGAUCCGGUAGGGACUGCGUGCAGGGGCUGUGCCUUUGGUUGGUGCCUUUCCCAGCAGCAGCAGCAGCAGCAAAGCUGUCCUGUGACUUUGUGGGUUCGACUUGGGCACUGUUUGGGCUAGACAGCGUCAAGUGCAUCGCCGCCAGGUGCACAGAUACGUUCCCACAGUGUUGAUACUCCCCGGUGGCCUCGACACAAAAUAUUUCCUCUCCUCUUCUUGUGCUCAAGGCCACCGGACGCGUUUAGUUUUGACUUUCGAGCGAUGCUUACAGCUGACUGUGUAGCACAGUCCACCGAGGGAAUAGUUACUGGUUUCCUUGUUGUGUUGAUUUCGGAGGGAAGGGUCUGCCAAGGCUGCAAGCGUUUCUUUUGAGGUUGCUUUUCAUCCCUGUCCGCAAGGUGUCAAGCGUGAGUCCGCUCUGGCGUGUCAGUGAUACCUGAAAAGAUGGACCGAAAACGCGGAGGCCUGUUUUCAUUGAAAUUCACUUAAAGUUUUACAUAGAUCACUUGGGGGUGGGGGAGGGGUGGGGAGUAGCAAUUUGAGUGUAUUUCGAAUGCAGACCGUUGAUUCAUGUUUUGCGUCGUUGGGCCUAACUACCUCCAGUAGUUUGGAGUUCACAGACAAAACCUGCUUUUUGAUCCGAUGUUGGGAGCUCGGAUUUUAAAUACAUAUUUAAAAAUAGCUUCUACCUUGAAGUUUUUGCUUGUGACUUUGUAGUUCUCUAGCUCUUUCCUUUGACUCAUUUCCUCCUGCCCGUGCUUCUCCCAUCUUGCCCUCUUGCUUGCUCAGUUUUCUGUUUUGCUUUUUCUCGCUUUCGUUUCCUUGUUUUAUUCCUCCUUAAAUACCUUUCGUCUUUCAUCCCCAGAACAAGUGUGUUCAAGCUAUCUCAGACUGAUGACAUCAGAAAUAAAUUACUGUAUUGAUGCAUUUUGUAUAUAAACUGAGAGUAGGUGGGAUUUCUUAGGUGGGAAGAAAACAUUUUACCUAUAUUGAAACAGUUGUGAGUGAUAUGUACUAGACCAGGACUAAGUACCAUCUUUUUUGUUUACUCUGUCAGAUUUUAGGGGUUCUUUUUGCAACAUUGUUACAUUGGGGGAAAAAAACAGGCUGUACUUUAAAUGUAGCAGACUCUCUUCUUCUACUUCUUCUACACUCUUCAGUAAGAAGUGGUUGUGAAAUGUCACAAGUAUUAAGGCUUGUUGCUUGCUUCACCAGUAACCUCAAUUUCACGUUUGUAGCCUUGGCCAGUUACAGGAAAAGCAUUGUUUUCCAAAUCCCACAUCUUUCAAAAACAAAACUUUGGUUAUGAGGAGCGGACUGGAGCUGAUAACUAGUUAUCAAAUUCAGUCUCUCAAAAAGUAUCAGAAGGGUCUUCCUAUGCAAUUACUUUGAAAGUGUUGUACAUCUAAAAUGUGCUU